UCCACCCCCACUUCCCGUCUGAUGGGCUUCACUGNAUACCGUGUUCUCGACGUCAUAAGCCAUUGUUGAUAAGGGAGCCAAUCAUAUUGCAUGUUAGAAAAUAUGCAAAUUUUAUAUUGCUACCGCCAAAAAAAUCACGAGGAGAAAUCGCCUCUAUGAUAUGGAUGACUCGUUAUGUUUAAUUCCACUCCGCAAAAAGCAGUGAUUUCUACUUUAAAUCUUCAAUGUAUAAUAUGCGGAUUUCAAGUGUCAUCUCAAGAUAGGGUAUCGAUAUUUGGUAGAUCAAAAUUCGAUUUAAAAGGAGCAAUUUCGGAGCUUGUUGGCGGUGAACUUCAGUGUGGCGACCAAAAUCACUAUCUUUGCACAAAGAAAUGUCUUGNCAAGAUAAAGAAAUAUUUAAAGCUGUCGGAGAAUUUAACAGAACUAAGGGGCGCAUUAAAGAAAGAGCUAACGUCGGCAACGUCUCGAAUUCGAAUUAAGAGAGGAUUCUCAGAAGAUUUAGACUUGUCACCUAUCAAAAAUCGCUCACAAACAACAACAACAAACGGCUCGAUCGCUUGUAGUACUCCUGCGCCAGUGUCCAAAGCUACAGCCAACGAGACACCUUUUCGAACAUGUUUAUUCCCAGUGAACGAUGUUAUUACUCCAUUAGUUAUAAGCAAUAUAAGUCAAGCGCCUGGAAAGUCUUCGUCGAGUUCGUCUUCGCAUGCACAAGAGAAAUCAACUGUUGUGACUGUAUUUAGNGCGCCUUUAGUGGUAAAAUGUCCUGGCAACAAAAAUCCUUCGCAAUCUCUAGUUCAAAUACCGAUUCCUUCAGCACAAUUUCCUGAGAAACCGCCAUCGAAGUCAUCAAAAAAAUCCGAGCAAUCAACUACUAUAGACAAGAAACCUUCUGUGCAGGUACGUUUAUUUCGGUCAGAUUGUCUGAUCGAUUGUCUAUUCUUUGUCUAUAUUCUAUACGUAAUGUAUUUUAAGUGUUAAAGGCUUUACUUUGCUUAUUACUUAAGUACUUGUGGUGUUAUAGCUUUAAACUGGAUAAUAAACUUACCAAUAACCUUAAUGAAUACAUAUAAAGAUCAGUAUUUAUGUGAGCACAAUAGCCGUUCUUAUAUAGGCAAAUAAACAAUUAAAAAGCUAGUUGCUAUAUUAUGUAGUUUAAAACCCAUAUUUAUUUUAAUAGGUCAUACUUAAGUAUCCAAACUGUGACAAAGCAUACAGGAAUUAUCUAGAAGAAAGCUUACAUCCUCUAGGAAAAGCUCUAGCUAGGAGGUUUUCUUACCCAAAGAUUGCAACAGCCAUCUUUCGUUCUGAGCCUCUAAAGAAAGCAGUCAUNAAACAGAUCUUAACAAUUUUGGCCAAAGAAUGUGUGAACUUGUGUUCNAAGAAAAAUCCAUCCAUAUUGAGAUCAAAAGAACCAAAUGAGAUGUUGCAUUUUAAGCUAUCAGAUGUCUGUGCUGAGUUCCAAUGCAGAGCACCACUCUUUUAUUCUGUACUACUUACAUGUGCUACAUCCAACAAAGAGAUAGAUUGGUUGCCCUCUGUAGCAGUGGCAGGUUCAGUCUUACUUAAACAGCGCAACAUGCAUAUGAAUGCUACUCAGUCAUUGAUAUCACUAAUGGUCAAGCAAGAUGGAAUACAGAAACUGCUGAAUCGCCUCAACACAAUAAAGCUCACAUUGUCUUCCAAAACAACACUGAAGAGGCUAGAUUCUUUUGGUUCUAUGUUUAAGCAGGAGCUGAAAAAGUUAAAAGUCAACUGUACCGAGAUCACCUCAAGUCAAAGGGACAACUCUAACCGACAAUCAACUUCAAUCCCAACCAAUGCAGAGAAUUCUAACCAACAACCAACUUUGACUGCAACCUCUGACAACUCUA
This 1874-nucleotide long non-coding RNA is filed under the name Exaiptasia diaphana. RNAcentral describes it as "uncharacterized LOC114576670". Lineage: Eukaryota; Metazoa; Cnidaria; Anthozoa; Actiniaria; Aiptasiidae. The record is from RNAcentral.